ACAAGUGCACCUAGACGUUGCAACGCGAGCCGGCUGCAGACGGUCUGCACACUUUCUUUUCUCGAGGAUCAGUCGAUUGCUAUGACUCUGCGCGAGUGGUACGGGAAACGGGAGCUCCUAGUCACCGGAGUGACCAGCGACGUCGGCAGAGCCUUGCUCGAGAAACUGUUGCGCAGCUUUCCCGACGCGAUCGUCUACGUUGUGCUCAGAUCGAGGCAUGGAUUCAGCAAGGACGACAGGAUCAAGCAGAUCUUCGUGUCGCCUCGAUUCGAGAGGCUGCGGCAGACGGAUCCGGGCGCGAUCAACCGGGUGAAGCCGUUGGAGGGCAAUCUGCAGUACGACGGGCUGGGCAUGAGCAAGGAGGACAAGGAUCAGCUGAGCAAGGUGAGCGUGGCGUUUCACGCGGCGGGUCCGCACGACGCGAUGUUCGAGUACUGCCUGGAGCUGCCCAGGCUCGAGACGUUGGCCGCGGUGUCGAGCCUGUUCCGGCACAAGGGCCAGAUCAACGAGACAUUGCAGAACGAGCGGGUUCCCGACGGGCCGAUCGCGCUGGUCCGGAUGCCGCUGGUCGGCCCUGCUCUCCGCGAGCCCAUGCCCGGCUUCGUCGACGUCUUCAAAGGGCCGACAGCCUUCAUGGCGAGCGCGGGCCUCGCUCUCGGCGAGUCUGGCUUUCAAGCGGAAAUCAUUCCAAUCGACCUGACGGUCAACACACUCAUCGCCGUUGCUUGGGAACGAGCCACCGCGAAGGACAUGCAAGGGCCAGUGGUAUAUAAUGCAGUCUCGAUAGGAUGCACGUGGAACGAGCUGACUAAGAAAGGUAGCCGGGGCAACCGGAAGUUUACAUACCCGACAUUCGGGUUCCGUGGCAUGACGUCCUCGCCGAUCUUGCACUGGAUUCUGGUGGUGCUGUUUGAAUGGCUGCCGUCCCUGCUUAGCGACACGAUUCUCGGCCUCUGCGGAGCCAAGAAAAGGCUUCUACGUGAACACGAGAGAGUUCGUAAUGCACUUCGAUCCCUUGAGUCAAUUUCGUCGAGGCCGUGGUCAGCAGAGAGGAAUCGUGUGUACCUGCUGCAGCAACGUCUCGUCGAAGAAGACCAAGAUGCAUUUCCGGUUGCCACGGAAAUCGACAUAGAGAGUUACGUUCUCUGCACCGCCGCCGCCGCGAAGAAGCAUUGCGUCGACGAAACCAAUGUCUGGCUCGUAAAAAUCUUUCGACUACUUUUCCUGCUCGUGGCCGCGGCGGUCCUCUUCUCUUCGCUCUUCUUCUGCUAUAGACACCACUCGCCCAACGGGGACCACAUAGUCGGACUGUGACUGUGAAUAAUUUUCGGGCACUGGGGACACCGCGGGACGUCGCAUUUUCCGCAACCACAUGCCUAGUGCAGCAUAAAUAUGCUAGGAGUGCGGAGGCUCGACUCGUCCGUGUUUUGGAGGCUUCGGAAGGAGAAAGUCGAGUUAGGAGCGACAGAAGAGGGCACGCUCUAAGUGGAGGCACGUCAAGAUUGCGCAACAGUUAUCUUCGGGCUGCUGAAGCAUGCGAACCAACCAGGUAGAAGCGAGAACGAUGGGGUCGCGAUCUUGAGUGGCCAAUAUUUCCUGCAGUGUCGUAAAUGUCUUGCAUGAAAUGUGUGCAUCGGUGCUUCAAACGUUUUCAUAUGUCAUUUGCAACGUCGACCAUGCCGUAUUCUCGAAUAAUCGAUAAGAUAGCUCGUAAAAGACGGUUAAUACGUAUUCGAUACGUUACAGACCCUCUGCCGCGACGAUUUCAUAAUUAAUCACGACGAAAUGACAACAUUUUGUGUUGCAACGAGCGUACUCGUCAAAAACAGCU
This is a non-coding RNA of Megalopta genalis, 1831 nucleotides long. NCBI's taxonomy places the organism in Eukaryota, Metazoa, Arthropoda, Insecta, Hymenoptera, Halictidae. The record is from RefSeq and is a predicted model, not a curated record.